CCUACGGGAGGCAGCAGUGAGGAAUAUUGGUCAAUGGACGAGAGUCUGAACCAGCCAAGUCGCGUGAAGGAUGACUGCCCUAUGGGUUGUAAACUUCUUUUGUAAAGGAAUAAAACGAGGCACGUGAGCCGCUUUGCAUGUACUUUAUGAAUAAGCAUCGGCUAACUCCGUGCCAGCAGCCGCGGUAAUACGUAGGGGGCAAGCGUUAUCCGGAUUUAUUGGGUGUAAAGGGCGCGUAGACGGCGGUGCAAGUCAGAUGUGAAAGCCCGGGGCCCAACCCCGGGACUGCGUUUGAAACUGUGCUGCUUGAGUGUAGGAGGGGUAGGCGGAAUUCCUAGUGUAGCGGUGAAAUGCGUAGAUAUUAGGAGGAACACCGGUGGCGAAGGCGGCCUACUGGACGGUAACUGACGUUGAGGCUCGAAAGCGUGGGGAGCAAACAGGAUUAGAUACCCUAGUAGUC
Molecule: ribosomal RNA, 460 nt
Filed under: uncultured bacterium
Lineage: Bacteria
Description: partial 16S ribosomal RNA
Rfam family: Bacterial small subunit ribosomal RNA
Source: RNAcentral